Molecule: non-coding RNA, 354 nt
Organism: Callorhinchus milii (elephant shark)
Lineage: Eukaryota; Metazoa; Chordata; Chondrichthyes; Chimaeriformes; Callorhinchidae
Product: small Cajal body-specific RNA 7
Exons: 1
Source: RefSeq, a predicted model, not a curated record
UGGAAAUGAUGAAAUUGAGAUUAAUGGGUGUGUUUGUAUGUCUAUGUGUGUAUUAAGGGUGGCAGUAUUUUUUUAGGUAGUUAUCAGGUAAUGGUAAGGUACACAAGUUCAAUGGUUUAAAACUCUUAUGAUGAAUGAGUGUGAAUGGGGUUGUGUAUGUUGAGGUUGGCGAUGGUGGGGUCUGAUUUCAAGGCUUAGUGCUGAUACUGAAGUGCACCUGAAGGCAAUCACAGCUCAUUUUCAGGGCUUUGCAGUGUGAUUGUGCUGAUGAUUAGAGCCCCAGAGAGCCCACCGGGUCAACCGAGGCACCCAGACUUCUCUAACAGGCGACUCUGUCACUGUGAGCUGAUCCAA